GCGAUACAGGGUGACAGCCCCGUACACAAAAAUGCACAUGCUGUGAGCUCGAUGAGUAGGGCGGGACACGUGGUAUCCUGUCUGAAUAUGGGGGGACCAUCCUCCAAGGCUAAAUACUCCUGACUGACCGAUAGUGAACCAGUACCGUGAGGGAAAGGCGAAAAGAACCCCGGCGAGGGGAGUGAAAAAGAACCUGAAACCGUGUACGUACAAGCAGUGGGAGCACGCUUAGGCGUGUGACUGCGUACCUUUUGUAUAAUGGGUCAGCGACUUAUAUUCUGUAGCAAGGUUAACCGAAUAGGGGAGCCGAAGGGAAACCGAGUCUUAACUGGGCGUUAAGUUGCAGGGUAUAGACCCGAAACCCGGUGAUCUAGCCAUGGGCAGGUUGAAGGUUGGGUAACACUAACUGGAGGACCGAACCGACUAAUGUUGAAAAAUUAGCGGAUGACUUGUGGCUGGGGGUGAAAGGCCAAUCAAACCGGGAGAUAGCUGGUUCUCCCCGAAAGCUAUUUAGGUAGCGCCUCGUGAAUUCAUCUCCGGGGGUAGAGCACUGUUUCGGCAAGGGGGUCAUCCCGACUUACCAACCCGAUGCAAACUGCGAAUACCGGAGAAUGUUAUCACGGGAGACACACGGCGGGUGCUAACGUCCGUCGUGAAGAGGGAAACAACCCAGACCGCCAGCUAAGGUCCCAAAGUCAUGGUUAAGUGGGAAACGAUGUGGGAAGGCCCAGACAGCCAGGAUGUUGGCUUAGAAGCAGCCAUCAUUUAAAGAAAGCGUAAUAGCUCACUGGUCGAGUCGGCCUGCGCGGAAGAUGUAACGGGGCUAAACCAUGCACCGAAGCUGCGGCAGCGACGCUGAUGCGUUGUUGGGUAGGGGAGCGUUCUGUAAGCCUGCGAAGGUGUGCUGUGAGGCAUGCUGGAGGUAUCAGAAGUGCGAAUGCUGACAUAAGUAACGAUAAAGCGGGUGAAAAGCCCGCUCGCCGGAAGACCAAGGGUUCCUGUCCAACGUUAAUCGGGGCAGGGUGAGUCGACCCCUAAGGCGAGGCCGAAAGGCGUAGUCGAUGGGAAACAGGUUAAUAUUCCUGUACUUGGUGUUACUGCGAAGGGGGGACGGAGAAGGCUAUGUUGGCCGGGCGACGGUUGUCCCGGUUUAAGCGUGUAGGCUGGUUUUCCAGGCAAAUCCGGAAAAUCAAGGCUGAGGCGUGAUGACGAGGCACUACGGUGCUGAAGCAACAAAUGCCCUGCUUCCAGGAAAAGCCUCUAAGCAUCAGGUAACAUCAAAUCGUACCCCAAACCGACACAGGUGGUCAGGUAGAGAAUACCAAGGCGCUUGAGAGAACUCGGGUGAAGGAACUAGGCAAAAUGGUGCCGUAACUUCGGGAGAAGGCACGCUGAUAUGUAGGUGAAGUCCCUCGCGGAUGGAGCUGAAAUCAGUCGAAGAUACCAGCUGGCUGCAACUGUUUAUUAAAAACACAGCACUGUGCAAACACGAAAGUGGACGUAUACGGUGUGACGCCUGCCCGGUGCCGGAAGGUUAAUUGAUGGGGUCAGCGCAAGCGAAGCUCUUGAUCGAAGCCCCGGUAAACGGCGGCCGUAACUAUAACGGUCCUAAGGUAGCGAAAUUCCUUGUCGGGUAAGUUCCGACCUGCACGAAUGGCGUAAUGAUGGCCAGGCUGUCUCCACCCGAGACUCAGUGAAAUUGAACUCGCUGUGAAGAUGCAGUGUACCCGCGGCAAGACGGAAAGACCCCGUGAACCUUUACUAUAGCUUGACACUGAACAUUGAGCCUUGAUGUGUAGGAUAGGUGGGAGGCUUUGAAGUGUGGACGCCAGUCUGCAUGGAGCCGACCUUGAAAUACCACCCUUUAAUGUUUGAUGUUCUAACGUUGACCCGUGAUCCGGGUUGCGGACAGUGUCUGGUGGGUAGUUUGACUGGGGCGGUCUCCUCCUAAAGAGUAACGGAGGAGCACGAAGGUUGGCUAAUCCUGGUCGGACAUCAGGAGGUUAGUGCAAUGGCAUAAGCCAGCUUGACUGCGAGCGUGACGGCGCGAGCAGGUGCGAAAGCAGGUCAUAGUGAUCCGGUGGUUCUGAAUGGAAGGGCCAUCGCUCAACGGAUAAAAGGUACUCCGGGGAUAACAGGCUGAUACCGCCCAAGAGUUCAUAUCGACGGCGGUGUUUGGCACCUCGAUGUCGGCUCAUCACAUCCUGGGGCUGAAGUAGGUCCCAAGGGUAUGGCUGUUCGCCAUUUAAAGUGGUACGCGAGCUGGGUUUAGAACGUCGUGAGACAGUUCGGUCCCUAUCUGCCGUGGGCGCUGGAGAACUGAGGGGGGCUGCUCCUAGUACGAGAGGACCGGAGUGGACGCAUCACUGGUGUUCGGGUUGUCAUGCCAAUGGCACUGCCCGGUAGCUAAAUGCGGAAGAGAUAAGUGCUGAAAGCAUCUAAGCACGAAACUUGCCCCGAGAUGAGUUCUCCCUGACUCCUUGAGAGUCCUGAAGGAACGUUGAAGACGACGACGUUGAUAGGCCGGGUGUGUAAGCGCAGCGAUGCGUUGAGCUAACCGGUACUAAUGAACCGUGAGGCUUAACCUU
This 2588-nucleotide ribosomal RNA is filed under the name Escherichia coli MGH 57. Its description in RNAcentral is "bacterial LSU rRNA". It matches the Rfam family "Bacterial large subunit ribosomal RNA", at positions 354 to 2925 of the family's 2925-position model. The record is from RNAcentral. Lineage: Bacteria; Pseudomonadati; Pseudomonadota; Gammaproteobacteria; Enterobacterales; Enterobacteriaceae.